RNAcentral lists this ribosomal RNA (441 nucleotides) under uncultured bacterium. Its description in RNAcentral is "partial 16S ribosomal RNA". It matches the Rfam family "Bacterial small subunit ribosomal RNA", at positions 338 to 795 of the family's 1533-position model. The record is from RNAcentral.
CCUACGGGUGGCAGCAGUGGAGAAUCUUGCACACUGGGGGAAACCCUGAUGCAGCGACGCCGCGUGAGUGAAGACGUAUUUCGGUAUGUAAAGCUCUAUCAGCAGGGAAGAAAAAAGACGGUACCUGACUAAGAAGCCCCGGCUAACUACGAGCCAGCAGGCGCAGUAAUACGUAGGGGGCAAGCGUUAUCCGGCUUUACUGGGUGUAACGGGAGCUGAGACGGCGCGGCAAGUCUGAAGUGAAAGGCAGGGGCUUAACCCCUGAACUGCUUUGGAAACUGCCAUGCUAGAGUGCUGGAGAGGUAAGUGGAAUUCCUAGGGUAGCGGUGAAAUGCGUAGAUAUUAGGAGGAACACCAGUGGCGAAGGCGGCUUACUGGACAGUAACUGACGUUGAGGCUCGAAAGCGUGGGGAGCAAACAGGAUUAGAUACCCUAGUAGUC